GAGAAAUAUUUCCAGUUGUGAUGCAAGAUCAUGUAAAUUUUUUAUCAUCUUAGCGAAUCGGUUCGUUCAAAAUUAUUCCCUUUUUUCACGCUUUCACUAUUUUUUUUAUUUUAUUUUAUAUUAUAUUUUAUUGUAAAACAGUUGCUUACGAAUGUGUUUUCCGGCUUGUCGUGUUUAUUUGUUUGUUCAUUCAAACAUAUUUUUAUUAAAAAAGUUUACAUGUAAUAACGUACAAUCUAAUAAAUAACAAUGUUAUUUUUAAACAUAUAUAUUUUAAUUCCCAAUAUUGUUAACAGUAUUGUUCCCGCUUUCUUUUAUUCCUAAACACACACAUCUCAAAGGGCUCGUGAAUCAGUUUGACUGAAUCCUCGACAAGAAUCGGUUCAUUUAAAAAAGACUAUUCACUACUGUGUAUGCAGAUAAUAAAUCCAUCUCAAAGUCAUUUCUCCUUGAGGACCAACAAUCUAAUGGGCUGCACGUUUAAUCAAGUUUGCUAUCAUCCAAUACAUUGAGGAAACUCGUCCAGAGCCAGGCCUCUGCCUGCAGACCCAAAGCAGCGGGCCCAUGUCCGCAUCAUCUGUGACAUCAUCCCGUCUGGGACCCAGCCCCUCCAGGUUCAACAUGAAAUUGUGCUUACAGAAUGUGUUGUGUGAUUCAGAAAAUUGGAGCAGAGAAGGUACAGUGUCCUCAACAUUUCAUCAACCGAGGAUUCGAGGACAUCUAUGAACAAGAGAUGAGCUGUACAUACCAGUGACUUAAAGGAAGAUGUGUGAGUGCAAUGUGAAACAUACAAAGUGGACAAAAAUGCAAAUGUGAAAACAGGUAAAGUACGUGCAAAAUAAGAGAAAACAUUUAUUGCAC
Molecule: long non-coding RNA, 861 nt
Organism: Carassius gibelio (silver crucian carp)
Lineage: Eukaryota; Metazoa; Chordata; Actinopteri; Cypriniformes; Cyprinidae
Exons: 4
Source: RefSeq, a predicted model, not a curated record